Long non-coding RNA from Dendroctonus ponderosae (mountain pine beetle), 772 nucleotides. RefSeq lists it as uncharacterized. The transcript is spliced from 3 exons. NCBI's taxonomy places the organism in Eukaryota, Metazoa, Arthropoda, Insecta, Coleoptera, Curculionidae. The record is from RefSeq and is a predicted model, not a curated record.
UUUGGGUUGAUUUGCUAUCAAUUUGAUGUGUGUGAUGUGAUUCGAAUGUAUUUUUGUUAGAAUAUUACAACAUUUUAUCACAGAGAUUAACUGAUUAAUUAUAGUAUUAAGACUUUAUUAUUAGACUUAGAAACAAAUCUAUAUGCUCGGACAAGGAACCUGAUGUAUUUCAUACCAAGUGAAGAUGAGACUCAUGGAAGUGAUACGUAGCCCCUGACCGAACCCGAAGAAAACAGUCAAUAUUAACGAAUGGUAAAGAAACGUAAUUAAGAAGAAUAGGCUUUCUGGUCAAGAAAAUGAAAGUAGAGGGAUAAAUAAAAGAAGGAAAAUAGUCAACAAAAUGCCCAAAAAAUGUUUGCUGUCCAGUCAAUAAUUUAAACUCAGAUCUCCUUUACCAAGAAACGCUAAAAAUUAAACAUGAGAAAUGGGAGAAUUUACAAAAGUUGCUAGAUGUCCGUCUUCCAAUAUACCAUCAAUUUUAUAAAGACUUGCCUCUUGACCCAAAGGCUAAAAAUUUAAAAAACAAACUUAAAGCAAUCCAGCUGAAGAUUCGUUAAUUGAAAAUGUCGAAGAACAAGAUAUUAAUUAGAUGACAUUUUUGUCAGAUUACAAGUAAAUUUAUCUGUUGUAUUCCUAAACAUUAAUUUUUGGAAAAAAUAGUCAAAUAUUCAAAAACAUUGUUUGCUUUGUCGUAUUUUUUGAUAUUUUGUUUCGAUUCAAAGGUAAACAACCCAAGUGCCUUUUUGGUAAUGUAUAAAAUGUAUUUCACAAA